Molecule: long non-coding RNA, 209 nt
Filed under: Gallus gallus (chicken)
Lineage: Eukaryota; Metazoa; Chordata; Aves; Galliformes; Phasianidae
Description: long non-coding RNA NONGGAT007987
Source: RNAcentral
CGUUGCCCAUGCAGUCCGUUUUCCUCAGCCCAGACAGAUGGCAGUCAGAGGCACCAAGUCCUGACAACAGGCUACAAAUCAGUUGAGAUGAACAAAGUUAUUGUGCUGUCUGAGAGAAGUGAUCCUGAUGCCGCCUUUCUUAGAGGAGAGAGAUUCACUCUAAGAGCACUAAGAUGAAGUAAACAGAAAUUAAAUACAAUUUGGUUUCC